This 334-nucleotide long non-coding RNA is filed under the name Nicotiana benthamiana. RNAcentral's name for it is "long non-coding RNA (NBEN_LNC027127)". Lineage: Eukaryota; Viridiplantae; Streptophyta; Magnoliopsida; Solanales; Solanaceae. The record is from RNAcentral.
AAACAUUUCAUGAUCGACAAUCUGAAGGCCGGAGCAGCUUCACUAAACUAGGAUUGGAUGCCAGAGAGUACCUAAAUGCUAAUCUUGUAGCACGAAGCAGGGAAGGCUUUCGUCCUAAUGUGACUGCAAAUGCAGAACAAAUUAUUGAGUCAGUUCAAAUUGUUCCAGCUGAAGAACUUGAUAAUGCACAGAUAUGUAAAAAUUCAUCAACUGUUCCAGUUCACAGUGAACAUAUGGUGUCAAAAGUGGCUGGGGCUCUUCCUUAUGUGACUGCAGAUGCAGGACAAAAUACUGUUUCUGCUCCAAUUGUUCUAACUGCAGAAGCUCUUUCAAC